RNAcentral lists this ribosomal RNA (468 nucleotides) under uncultured bacterium. RNAcentral's name for it is "partial 16S ribosomal RNA". It matches the Rfam family "Bacterial small subunit ribosomal RNA", at positions 28 to 507 of the family's 1533-position model. The record is from RNAcentral.
GACGAACGCUGGCGGCGUGCUUAACACAUGCAAGUCGAACGGAAAGGCCCUGCUUUUGUGGGGUGCUCGAGUGGCGAACGGGUGAGUAACACGUGAGUAACCUGCCCUUGACUUUGGGAUAACUUCAGGAAACUGGGGCUAAUACCGGAUAGGAGCUCCUGCUGCAUGGUGGGGGUUGGAAAGUUUCGGCGGUUGGGGAUGGACUCGCGGCUUAUCAGCUUGUUGGUGGGGUAGUGGCUUACCAAGGCUUUGACGGGUAGCCGGCCUGAGAGGGUGGCCGGCGACAUGGGGACUGAGAGACGGCCCAGACUGCUACGGGAGGCAGCAGUGGGGAAUAUGGCACAAUGGGCGGAAGCCUGAUGCAGCAACGCCGCGUGCGGGAUGACGGCCUUCGGGUUGUAAACCGCUUUCGCCUGUGACGAAGCGUGAGUGACGGUAAUGGGUAAAGAAGCAACGGCUAACUACGUG